GGCCGGGUGGCAGAGUGGUCAUGCAGCGGAUUGCAAAUCCGUCAACGCCGGUUCGAUUCCGACCUCGGCCUCCA
This 74-nucleotide transfer RNA is filed under the name Pseudomonas sp. RNAcentral describes it as "tRNA-Cys". It matches the Rfam family "tRNA". From Rfam's summary of the family: Transfer RNA (tRNA) molecules are approximately 80 nucleotides in length. Their secondary structure includes four short double-helical elements and three loops (D, anti-codon, and T loops). The record is from RNAcentral. RNAcentral also lists the same sequence under 8 other names. Lineage: Bacteria; Pseudomonadati; Pseudomonadota; Gammaproteobacteria; Pseudomonadales; Pseudomonadaceae.